Molecule: ribosomal RNA, 502 nt
Filed under: uncultured bacterium
Lineage: Bacteria
Description: partial 16S ribosomal RNA
Rfam family: Bacterial small subunit ribosomal RNA
Source: RNAcentral
AUUGAACGCUGGCGGCAGGCUUAACACAUGCAAGUCGAGCGGGGUGAUGGUGCUUGCACUAUCACUUAGCGGCGGACGGGUGAGUAAUGCUUAGGAAUCUGCCUAUUAGUGGGGGACAACAUCUCGAAAGGGAUGCUAAUACCGCAUACGUCCUACGGGAGAAAGCAGGGGAUCACUUGUGACCUUGCGCUAAUAGAUGAGCCUAAGUCGGAUUAGCUAGUUGGUGGGUAAAGGCCUACCAAGGCGACGAUCUGUAGCGGGUCUGAGAGGAUGAUCCGCCACACUGGAACUGAGACGCGGCCCAGACUCCUACGGGAGGCAGCAGUGGGGAAUAUUGGACAAUGGGGGGAACCCUGAUCCAGCCAUGCCGCGUGUGUGAAGAAGGCCUUAUGGUUGUAAAGCACUUUAAGCGAGGAGGAGGCCCUUUUGGUUAAUACCCAAGAUGAGUGGACGUUACUCGCAGAAUAAGCACCGGCUAACUCUGUGCCAGCAGCCGCCGUAA